Molecule: long non-coding RNA, 193 nt
Organism: Sebastes umbrosus (honeycomb rockfish)
Lineage: Eukaryota; Metazoa; Chordata; Actinopteri; Perciformes; Sebastidae
Exons: 4
Source: RefSeq, a predicted model, not a curated record
GUUGUUUUCCUCUGGUCUGUGAAAUCUUGCCAUUAGGAGCACCGGAGGACACAGAGGCACAGGAUUUCUUUUCAGAUUACCUGUUUCAUGCACUACUGUCUACUGAUUUAGUGACCGUUUUAGUAAAAUAACUUUUUUUAAUCAUAUUUGCUCCAUUUCUACCCACCGCUGCUUUAAUUUUGCUUUAAAAGUG